AUUUUUUCUUUCUUGUUAUAUUAUUAUUGAAAGUAAUAAAAUAAUUGUAAUUUGUUUUUGUACUACUUGAUCUUGAUAAUUUAAUCAAUAAAUCGUCGUCAAUUAAAUUUAUAAAAAUGGUGAAUUACAUGUGCUGAACACAUUUUUAAAAAACUCAACCCAAUAAAUUAUCUAUCAAAUUUAUGAACAUGGGUAGUUUAACGGUAGCUGAUGCAAAUGCGCUUACACUCGAAAUCGGCCCCUUUGAAACGGUUCAUAGAUGGAAACGAAUGCCAGAAUGUGACGAAUUUGUUGGAGCCAGGCGAAGUAAACACACAGUUGUUGCUUACAAAGAUGCUAUUUAUGUGUUCGGAGGAGACAAUGGUAAAAGUAUGUUGAACGAUUUAUUACGUUUUGAUGUGAAAGAAAAAAGUUGGGGUCGUGCGUUCGCUACGGGAUCUCCACCUGCACCAAGGUAUCAUCAUUCCGCAGUUGUUUAUAACACUUCCAUGUUCGUUUUUGGUGGUUAUACCGGUGAUAUUCACUCAAACUCUAAUCUAACAAAUAAAAAUGAUUUAUUUGAAUAUAAAUUCAAUUCCGGUCAAUGGGUGGAGUGGAAAUGGUUUCCAGGGCAAACGCCAGUACCUAGAUCAGCGCACGGAGCUGCUGUUUUUGAUAAUAAACUAUGGAUAUUCGCAGGUUAUGAUGGAAAUGCUCGAUUGAAUGAUAUGUGGACUAUACCUCUAAUUGGCGAUGUGAAGAGUUGGGAGGAAGUUGAUCAAAAGGGUGAAUGUCCGCCUACGUGUUGUAAUUUCCCCGUCGCAGUAGCUAGGGAUUGUAUGUUUGUUUUCAGUGGUCAAAGUGGGGCUAAAAUAACAAACUCUCUAUUUCAAUUCGACUUUAAAGAUAAAAUUUGGACGAGAAUAUCUACUGAACACAUUCUUCGAGGUGCUCCUGCUCCUCCAGCGCGACGUUACGGACAUACUAUGGUGUCAUUUGAUCGACAUUUAUAUGUAUUCGGUGGAGCUGCAGAUUCAACUCUAUCAAAUGAUUUACACUGUUUUGAUUUAGAUUCACGUAAAUGGUCUAUAGUAUUACCAGAUGCGGAAUCUUUUGUACCAUCCGGUAGGUUGUUUCAUGCAGCUGCUGUUGUCGGCGAUGCCAUGUUCAUUUUCGGUGGUACCGGGGAUAAUAAUGUUCGAAGCGGAGAGAUGUAUAGAUUUCAGUUUUCGAAUUAUCCCAAAUGUACCCUACACGAAGAUUACGGUAAAUUACUUGAAACUAGAAUGUUUUGUGAUACUCAAUUUAUUGUCGGCCCCGAAGAAAGGAAAAUAACCGGUCACGUCGCUUUGGUGGCUGCUAGAUCCGGUUACUUAAGGAAAUUAAUUCGACAGGCUAAAAUUGAUCGCGACAAGCAUUUAGAAAGAGUGUUUGGUACUUCGAAUGUUCCUUUUGCUGAUAUACCUUUAGCGGAAGUAAAACUUCCUGAUGCCGAUCCUGAAGCUUUCGAAAUGGUUUUGAAUUAUAUAUACAUGGAUUGUAUCGAUCCGACUAAAAGGGGUAGAGAUGGUGAAGAUCCUUUUUCUAAUAGAAUCGUUUUGAGGAUGAUGGACGUUUAUAGGUUGGCAGUACAAUUUAACAUGGCGAGAUUGGAACAUUUGUGUGUUCAAUACUUAAAUGCUACUAUUUGUUUAAAAAAUGUUCUGGUCGCUUUACAUAAAGCCGAUCAACUUCAGUUGGACUUUAUCAAAGAACAUUGUUUACGAUAUAUAGUUAAAGAGAGUAAUUAUAAUCAGAUAGUAAUGAGUACUGAAUUUGAAACCUUGGAUCGGAGUCUAAUGGUGGAAAUUAUAAGAAGAAAACAGAUGCCUCAAUAUAAGGCCCUUGCUGAAAAUCAAUUCGAUACAGCCGGAGGUUCCCUAGAACAAGAUAUGGCGAUGUUUUUACGAGUAACCGGUAAAGAAUUCUGCGACAUCGAUUUGAACUUAGACGGAAAUCUCAUUCCGGCUCAUAAAACUAUCCUAGCAGCUCGAUGUGGGUAUUUUGAAGCCAUGUUUAGAUCAUUUAUGCCAGCUGAUAGCAAAGUUAACAUCCAAAUAGGUGAAAUGAUACCAUCAAAAGAAUCAUUCGAUUCCCUACUACGAUAUAUCUAUUAUGGUGAUGUAAAUAUGCCUCCUGAAGAUUCUCUCUACCUCUUCUCGGCCCCUUUCUUUUACGGUUUCACCAACAAUCGCCUACAAGCUUUUUGUAAACAGAAUCUCGAAAUGAACGUCACUUUCGAAAAUGUUAUACAAAUUUUAGAAGCCGCAGAUAAAAUGCAAGCCACAGAUAUGAAAAAAUACGCUUUGGAUUUAAUCGUUCACCAUUUUACCAAAGUGGCGAAAUUACCCAGAUUGCGUUUGCUGAGUAAAGAAUUAAUUCUGGAUAUAUUAGAAGUUCUUGCGGAAAGUAUGGAAUCGAAUAUGCGUAACGACGUUUCGAAUUCUCUGUUAAAUUUGGAUCAAUGAUUGUCGUUGAUGAGAAAGGAUAUGAAGUUAACUUUGAGACGAGUAACGAUUAUAUUGAUUACUGUUAUUUCGGCCAUUAUCGAUAGAAGUUUGUUGGAAAAACUCGAAUACAAAGAUGUAUAUUUCUAAUGGUUGUUUUCUGAAGGUACCUCGUAUGUAUUAUAUUCUUAAUACUUUAAAGGCUGUUUUUCAACUUUUUUGUAGAAUUCAUAGCUAGAUUUUGAUUAAAAUUAUGUUUUUGUCGAAAAUAUAGUGAAUUUCAAUAGUAGUUCAAAUGUACCAUCAAAUAUAUUUUAAAAAGUUAUAAAAAAAUUGAAAUUAUUGGUUAAAACGGGUGGACAUUAAUGAAAUAAGUAUAAAGCAUAAUUUAUUGUUUCUAUCACUUGUAUUAAAUUAAAAAUGUUACAGGGACAUCUCGAAAUGUUUUUAAAAUAAAAACUUGAAACGAAAAAUUAGUUUCCAUUGUAAGUUUCCAAAAAAAAUCGAUUAAACAUACCAAAUUGUUUUAUGUGUCAAUCUUAAUUGGGUUUUGAUAACUAUUAUCAAUGAUUUUUCCGAAUUCAUAAUGAUUAAUGAUAUAUUUUUUCAAUCUUUUCAAAUAGUCGUUUUCUGAAAGACCCUCGUAUACAUUCAUGAUAAUUUCGAAAGCAUUUUCACAUUUUUGUAGAAUGGAGUCACUAUAAUUUGAAAAAAAUUUAAUUUUAUGGGAAUAAUAUCAAUAAUAAUUCAAAUGUACAAUCAAAUGUUUUUUGAAAAUUUGUCGAAAAAAGUGAAAUUAUUGGUUAAAUACGGGUGAACAGUAAUAGAUUGAGUAUAAAACAUAAUUUACUGAUUUAGUCACAAAGAUUUCAUUAAAAAAUGUUACAAAAACAUUUCAAUUUGUUUCUAUAUAACUACUAGUAACGAAAACUAAUUUUUUUGUAUGAAUUCACAAAAAUCGAUUUAUUUUUAUUUAAAAAAAUUCUACAAUUUUGAUUUUUUUGAUUCAAAAUACAAUUUAUUACUUGGAAAUUUAAAUAUUGAAACUAUUGAAUAAACUAUUUUUCUCAUCGUGUUUUAUUUAUAAAAGUUCGGAUGAUAAAUAAAUUCCUUUUUUUCCUAUAUUAGUUCACCAUUUUUCAAAUUUUGAUACAUUCUCAUAAUACGAGGGCUAUAUAUAAAGUAACAAAUUUUCUGGUCAGCACCGCCAUCUUGACAUCAAAAUGGUUAUAUACUUAUAAAGCAUGGCAUUAAAAUAAUUAGACCAGAAAAUCCUGGAAGUUUUUCAAGACUUUUUCUUGGUGGAAAAUAGAAUAAACGACAUUUAUAUCCAGAUUUAGUUCAGCAAAAAAUUUUCUACACAACAAACAUCGUUUUCAUACGACCUCAUUUACCAAAAACUCUAAUGAAAAAUUAUAAAUCAUCUGUCAAAUGAUUAUAACCUAUUUCCAAUUAAAGAGAUGAAGGUAUGUUCAAGAAUUCUCGAAUGUCAAAUCAAGUAUCUCUAAAAUAAUUAUAACCUAUUUAUAGUGAUAGAAAUGAAGUUAGGUCUAAGAACUCUUAAAUAACAAGUUAUCAUUUAUCUGCCAGAUGAUUAUAACCUAUUUCCAGUGGUAGAGAUGAAGUUGGGUCUAAGAACUCCCAAAUCAAAAGUUAUAAUUUAACUGUCAAAUGGUUAUAACUUAUUUCCAGUAAUAUAAGGCAUUUUCUAGACAACCCUCGUACUACUUACUUUACAAUAUAAAAAAUUUAUUUAUUCUAUUUAUUUUCAUAACUAUGGAGCAAAAAAAUUAACAUUAAAAUGCUGUAAACAUUUGAAGAAAAAAACUAUACAAAAUUUUAUCAUUCUAAAAGUUCCUUUUUUCAAAAAAAUAUUUUGUAGCAUUAACAAAAUCACCAUUUAUUCUAAUAUAACCCACAAACUCAUUCACCUGGCUUCUUAUUGGUUUAAAUGAUUCUGGCUGAAGAAAUUCCAAUAAUUCUUUUUCUAAAACGUUGAUGUCACCCUGGAUUUUUUUAAUGAUUGUAUGUCGCUUCAAACCACCCUGAGAUAUUUUUAAAUAAACAGGUAACAUGUGAUUUUUCGUUCUUUGGAUAAAAUAAGCUUUAUCUUUUAAAUUUUCACCUUGCGGUUUCCAUCCAGAAGCGGACCUGUCUUUUGAAAUUGGUUCGGGAAUUAUUGAUGGUGGAAGGGCUCUUUCUACGUAUUUCCAUUCAUUUGGAUCGUUUGUUUUUUCAAAUUUUGUAGUUAUUUCUCCUACAUCUUCCAGAAAUGGAGAAGCUGUGUAACUUCCAUUUCUUACUUGUAUGAA
Molecule: RNA transcript, 4777 nt
Organism: Diorhabda carinulata
Lineage: Eukaryota; Metazoa; Arthropoda; Insecta; Coleoptera; Chrysomelidae
Gene: Lztr1
Gene name: leucine-zipper-like transcriptional regulator 1
Exons: 13
Source: RefSeq, a predicted model, not a curated record